RNAcentral lists this ribosomal RNA (874 nucleotides) under uncultured bacterium. RNAcentral's name for it is "bacterial SSU rRNA". It matches the Rfam family "Bacterial small subunit ribosomal RNA", at positions 28 to 904 of the family's 1533-position model. The record is from RNAcentral.
GACGAACGCUGGCGGCGUGCUUAACACAUGCAAGUCGAGCGAAGUGUUCAAGACAGAUUUCUUCGGAUUGAAAUCUUGAACAUCUUAGCGGCGAACGGGUGAGUAACGCGUGAGAAACCUGCCUUUCACAAAGGGAUAGCCUCGGGAAACUGGGAUUAAUACCUUAUGAUACUUCAAAUUCGCAUGAAAUUGAAGUUAAAGCGUAAAGCGGUGAAAGAUGGUCUCGCGUCCCAUUAGUUAGUUGGUGAGGUAACGGCUCACCAAGACCGCGAUGGGUAGCCGGCCUGAGAGGGUGAACGGCCACACUGGAACUGAGACACGGUCCAGACUCCUACGGGAGGCAGCAGUGGGGAAUAUUGCACAAUGGAGGAAACUCUGAUGCAGCGACGCCGCGUGAGUGAAGAAGGCCUUCGGGUCGUAAAACUUUGUCCUAGGGGACGAUAAUGACGGUACCCUAGGAGGAAGCCCCGGCUAACUACGUGCCAGCAGCCGCGGUAAUACGUAGGGGGCAAGCGUUGUCCGGAUUUAUUGGGCGUAAAGGGUGCGCAGGCGGUCUUUUAAGUCAGAUGUGAAAGCUCACGGCUCAACCGUGGUAAGCAUUUGAAACUGGAAGGCUUGAGUUAAGGAGAGGAAAGUGGAAUUCCUAGUGUAGCGGUGAAAUGCGUAGAUAUUAGGAGGAAUACCAGUGGCGAAGGCGACUUUCUGGACUUAUACUGACGCUGAGGCACGAAAGCGUGGGGAGCAAACAGGAUUAGAUACCCUGGUAGUCCACGCCGUAAACGAUGAGCGCUAGGUGUUGGGGGUCAAACCUCGGUGCCGCAGCUAACGCAUUAAGCGCUCGCCUGGGGAGUACGUACGCAAGUAUGAAACUCAA